RNAcentral lists this ribosomal RNA (201 nucleotides) under uncultured bacterium. RNAcentral describes it as "partial 16S ribosomal RNA". It matches the Rfam family "Bacterial small subunit ribosomal RNA", at positions 1301 to 1500 of the family's 1533-position model. The record is from RNAcentral.
CAGGCUGCAACUCGCCUGCAUGAAGUUGGAAUUGCUAGUAAUCGCGAAUCAGAAUGUCGCGGUGAAUACGUUCCCGGGCCUUGUACACACCGCCCGUCACACCAUGAGAGUUGGGGAUACCCGAAGCCUGUGAGCCAACAGUUUACUGAGGCAGCAGUCGAAGGUAGAAUCAAUGAUUGGGUGAAGUCGUAACAAGGUACC